GAGUUUGAUCGUGGCUCAGGAUAAACGCUGGCGGCGCUCAUAAGACAUGCAAGUCGAACGGAAGUCGUUAUAAAUGAAAUGAAGAUUUAUCUGAAUGAAGUUUGUAACAAUGGCUUUAGUGGCGGACUGGUGAGUAACGCGUAAGGAAUCUACCUAUUAGAGGGGAAUAACAAUGAGAAAUCAUUGCUAAUACCGCAUAUGCCAUAGAGAAGGCAUCUUCACAGUGGGAAAGGAGAAAUCCGCUAAUAGAUGAUCUUGCGUCUGAUUAGUUAGUUGGUGGGGUAACGGCCUACCAAGACGACGAUCAGUAGCCGGACUGAGAGGUUUGAACGGCCACAUUGGGGCUGAGAUACGGGCCCAGACUCCUACGGGAGGCAGCAGUCGGGAUAUUGCGCAAUGGAGAAACUCUGACGCAGUGACGCCGCGUA
RNAcentral lists this ribosomal RNA (428 nucleotides) under uncultured bacterium. Its description in RNAcentral is "bacterial SSU rRNA". It matches the Rfam family "Bacterial small subunit ribosomal RNA", at positions 9 to 403 of the family's 1533-position model. The record is from RNAcentral.